CUUCGAUACUCCGGGCUGCUUGUAUGCAGAGCUGUUUUAUGAUUAGUAGAAUCCCCACCUCCACCACUUAGGUAUCUGCUUCUGAAGCCUUACAAUAGUAGUCUGAAAAUAGAUGUGUUGACAUCCUAGCUGGAGAGAACAGCACAGCCUUUUACUCUGAGUUUUUAGUACCUGAAUAACAUGCGUUUGUGUUUUUUUUUUUUUUUUGACUGAUGCUUGCUCUACUGCGUAUGUGAGGAGAUGCUCGUUUCCCAGCUCUUUUAUCAGUUUCAUCAGUUUGUUCUUAUUGUCUCUUCUGUUACUUCUCAUUUGACAGUGGUACUACAGAUUGCUCCUUGGUUUGGCUCAUCGUGUAGCUACAGAAACAGUUGUGCAAGCAAAAGAAACAGGUUCAGUAGCUCUCUUGCUGGCCGGAGUCACUUCAAUAUGCAGUUCAUGGGUGAACUGCAGCUUCAGGCUGUUGUUGCUGAGAGUACUCAAUUUUAAUUAGAAGAGCCAAGAGAGCAGAACAACCAUGUUUAUCUCAUCCAUGUCAGCAUCAAGACUGAUGGCUUAUCAUAGAAAAACAUCAGCAGAUUAAGACAAGCUGCUAGACUUUGCACUGAAGCAACUGAAUGCUGUGCAUUGCGCUGACUCUUCAGGGCAUCGUGACCUGUGCCAGGAGAGUGACAAUAAGCAGCUCAGGGACAUCACUUUUUAUUCAUGCUAUGAACCUUUGCCUGUAGUUUCCAUGAUUGCUGAUGUUUAAUGAUCGCACUUAGUUGUCUUACUGUAACUUACCCUUUUAUGGCAUAAAGCCAAUAGCUAAGUAUGCAUUGUUUGUCUGAUGUCAAUUUCGUUUGGAUUCAGGGAUAUUUACUAGCAUGCACUGUAUAGUGGUUUGUUUUCUGAAGGCUUUUCUGAUAGCUUUCCCUAGGGGGUUUUGCAUUGUUGUGUGUAUUGUAUUAUUUUGUAUUCAGCUACUUUUUGUUUAUUUGUGCCUGCUUAGUGUUAAAGCUUACAGGCCUUGACAUUUCUGUCAUACUCAAAAUAACAGGGUAAUAAUGAGUUAUCAAGGUGGAAGACUGAAUUAUUCACCCUCUUGGGAACAUACUGUUCUUUGGUUUUGGAGUAAAUCUAUCUCCCAGUUCAGAAAACAACACAGUCCCCCUCCAAAACCUUUAACACAGUUCUUGACAAUACAAUAGAUACUCUAUCUAGAUUGGAAAGAAUUCGAUGCUUAUAAACCUAGUACUUUUCUAUAUAUAAAAAAAAAAAAAGUUGUACUUUAUUGUAGCCAUCUUUGGUUAGCUAGAGUAUUCUUAAAGUCACUUUGCACCUUAUGUUGUUAACUGUGAGCAUCUAAACAACUAGCUAGUACUUUAGAGAUUUUUUUUUUUAAUUUCCUUUAGUUUGUAUUCUUCAUGGUAUUAGUUUCUGAGAUUUUAUUUUCUCUGUAGGGGCAAGCAACUCAGUUUUUGAAUUAAAUGAAAACUUUCCUUUAAAUAUAACUCUAGGAGUUAGUUUUCAAAUAUAAGCAUUGUUUAAUAUAACAGAUUAUACAGCUUUGGAAUUUAUGGUCCUGUUGCCUAGAUAGUGUACUGAAGGAUCCAACAUUAAGUGUGUUGGAAAAUAAUUCUUCAACUAUACCUGCAAGCUGUCUUCUUCACUCUUUAUUGAAUUAUACCCAGGGUAAUAAUGUCUUGUUUUUAAUUACAAUUAUUUAGAAGUUUCACUCUUGAUUCACUUAGUUGGAUGGAUAAACUAAUUGCAUGACCUUGACUCUGUUAUGCAAAUAAACUCAUGUAUAUGUA
Oxyura jamaicensis (ruddy duck) is the source of this 1793-nucleotide long non-coding RNA. RefSeq lists it as uncharacterized. The record is from RefSeq and is a predicted model, not a curated record. The transcript has 2 exons. Lineage: Eukaryota; Metazoa; Chordata; Aves; Anseriformes; Anatidae.